RNAcentral lists this ribosomal RNA (239 nucleotides) under Salmonella enterica subsp. enterica serovar Agona. Its description in RNAcentral is "partial 23S ribosomal RNA". It matches the Rfam family "Bacterial large subunit ribosomal RNA", at positions 667 to 905 of the family's 2925-position model. The record is from RNAcentral. Lineage: Bacteria; Pseudomonadati; Pseudomonadota; Gammaproteobacteria; Enterobacterales; Enterobacteriaceae.
CGGAGGGAAACCGAGUCUUAAUUGGGCGUUAAGUUGCAGGGUAUAGACCCGAAACCCGGUGAUCUAGCCAUGGGCAGGUUGAAGGUUGGGUAACACUAACUGGAGGACCGAACCGACUAAUGUUGAAAAAUUAGCGGAUGACCUGUGGCUGGGGGUGAAAGGCCAAUCAAACCGGGAGAUAGCUGGUUCUCCCCGAAAGCUAUUUAGGUAGCGCCUCGUGAAUUCAUCUCCGGGGGUAG